GAUGAACGCUGGCGGCGUGCCUAAUACAUGCAAGUCGAGCGAACAGACGAGGAGCUUGCUCCUCUGACGUUAGCGGCGGGCGGGUGAGUAACACGUGGAUAACCUACCUAUAAGACUGGGAUAACUUCGGGAAACCGGAGCUAAUACCGGAUAAUAUAUUGAACCGCAUGGUUCAAUAGUGAAAGACGGCUUUGCUGUCACUUAUAGAUGGAUCCGCGCCGCAUUAGCUAGUUGGUAAGGUAACGGCUUACCAAGGCGACGAUGCGUAGCCGACCUGAGAGGGUGAUCGGCCACACUGGAACUGAGACACGGUCCAGACUCCUACGGGAGGCAGCAGUAGGGAAUCUUCCGCAAUGGGCGAAAGCCUGACGGAGCAACGCCGCGUGAGUGAUGAAGGUCUUCGGAUCGUAAAACUCUGUUAUUAGGGAAGAACAAAUGUGUAAGUAACUAUGCACGUCUUGACGGUACCUAAUCAGAAAGCCACGGCUAACUACGUG
This 497-nucleotide ribosomal RNA is filed under the name uncultured bacterium. RNAcentral's name for it is "partial 16S ribosomal RNA". It matches the Rfam family "Bacterial small subunit ribosomal RNA", at positions 28 to 507 of the family's 1533-position model. The record is from RNAcentral.